CCUACGGGAGGCAGCAGUGGGGAAUAUUGGGCAAUGGGCGCAAGCCUGACCCAGCAACGCAGCGUGAAGGAAGAAGGCUUUCGGGUUGUAAACUUCUUUUCUGAGGGACGAAGAAAGUGACGGUACCUCAGGAAUAAGCCACGGCUAACUACGUGCCAGCAGCCGCGGUAAUACGUAGGUGUCAAGCGUUAUCAGGAUUUAUUGGGUGUAAAGGGCGUGUAGGCGGGAAAUCAAGUCAGAUGUGAAAACUGAGGGCUCAACCCUGAGCCUGCAUUUGAAACUGUUAUUCUUGAGUGCUGGAGAGGUAAUCGGAAUUCCGGGUGUAGCGGUGAAAUGCGUAGAUAUAAGGAGGAACACCAGUGGCGAAGGCGGAUUGCUGGACAGUAACUGACGCUGAGGCGCGAAAGCGUGGGGAGCAAACAGGAUUAGAUACCCUAGUAGUC
This 443-nucleotide ribosomal RNA is filed under the name uncultured bacterium. Its description in RNAcentral is "partial 16S ribosomal RNA". It matches the Rfam family "Bacterial small subunit ribosomal RNA", at positions 338 to 795 of the family's 1533-position model. The record is from RNAcentral.